AUGAUGGAUGGUGUGACGGAGCCACCAGAUUGGCUUCCAGAUGGAUGGAUCUGGGAGGUCCGCUGUGAUGACGACGGUGAACACUGUGAGUACUACAUAUGUCCAGUGUCAGGGGCCGAAUUCACGAUGAAGGCAGAGGUCCUGAAGUACCUCUUCUCCGAGAUGGAUGAGCAAUAUAUAGAAUCGAUGGAAGCUGCUGCUGCUGAUUGGAUGCUCCACAAAGCACACGACUGGCUUCCACAGGGGUGGCUGCUUGAGAUCAGAGCAGGCGGGGAAAACAUGGACAAGAUGUACAAGUUUUAUGUUUACCCGCCGCUAGCAGUCCGGUUAUUUUCAAAAGAAGAUGUGCUACUCUAUAUUAAGGAAAUGAAGAUCUCGAAAUGUGAUACAGAUGGACAAUGCGACACAAGCUCUCAAGAAAAAAUUCUAGCAGAAGUGGAUUUAAACCCAUCUAGGCUCCCACCAGGAUGGGUCAAAGAAGUAGUUUUCAGAAAAACAAAGGAAGGAACCAAAAUAAUUAUGCAGUACUAUACGGAUCCUCUUAGCAAUUAUACAUUUCGGACAUUGAAGUCUGCAGUUGGCUACCUUGAAACCAAAGAACUUCCAAAAUUGGCAUUUAUUCAGAACACCAGUGUCCACGAUGUGUACAAUUUUGAGAAGUUUGCAGAUCUGGUAACUGAGCUUCCAAUGUUAUCUAUCAUCAUAGUAAUUAUCCUUGCAAUGUUAUCUCUUCCCAAAGUUCAAUUUUUAGUCUAG
This 756-nucleotide ribosomal RNA is filed under the name Triticum aestivum (bread wheat). RNAcentral describes it as "partial small subunit ribosomal RNA". The record is from RNAcentral. Lineage: Eukaryota; Viridiplantae; Streptophyta; Magnoliopsida; Poales; Poaceae.